UGCCAGCAGCCGCGGUAAUACGGAAGGUGCAAGCGUUGUUCGGAAUGACUGGGCGUAAAGCGCACGUAGGCGGGUUUGUAAGUAUAGUUUGAAAUCCCUGGGCUCAACCUGGGAACUGGACUUUAGACUGCAGAUCUUGAAUGUCUGAGGGGUUGAUGGAAUUCCAGGUGUAGGAGUGAAAUCCGUAGAUAUCUGGAGGAACACCAGAGGCGAAGGCGGUCGACUGGCAGAACAUUGACGCUGAGGUGCGAAAGCGUGGGUAGCAAACAGGAUUAGAUA
RNAcentral lists this ribosomal RNA (279 nucleotides) under uncultured bacterium. RNAcentral's name for it is "partial 16S ribosomal RNA". It matches the Rfam family "Bacterial small subunit ribosomal RNA", at positions 506 to 784 of the family's 1533-position model. The record is from RNAcentral.